GCUCUCACGCACAAAAGGCAUGAGGACAAGCAGCCGUUCUGGAGCAGCCGCCCGGAGAGCGCCAGAGCUCCACGGCCACCGGCAGCACUCAUCAAUCCCACCUCCCUCUUAUCGUAACAAUUGAAACCAACGCUCGUCGCGGCUGGGGAUACCCGCCAGAGAGGAGGACUUCGCAGGGAGGAAGACCAACGCCGUGACUUCGCUCCCCCAGGUCCCCCGACGCCGCCUCUCCCCAGCGCCCUCCGCUUUUCGGCCACGUACCCCCGCUCGGCGGAGCCCCGACGGCGAACCGGGACCGCGGGCCCCUCCCGCCGGCCUGCCCGGGUCCCCGCGGCUUGGGCAAGCCCCGGGGGCUACAUCUCCGUGCGGCUCUAGCAAAGGGAGCGACAGGGAGCCGCCGGGCACGGUCCCUCUGCCGCGGACCCUGGUGCCAGGCCAGCAGUCCCGUCGGAGCUGCCGAAAACGGAGCGCCUGGCCGCAGCCCCUCCGGCCCCCAACCAAGGGGGCUGUUCGCGGGCAGGCUCUCAGUGGCGAUGCUCAGCGGGAAGAGUUACGUGAGAAGAGAUGGCUGCAGAUCAGCCGCGUUCCCCGCCGCACAACUGGCGCUUCUCUCGGUGUGAGGACACGCGUCCCUCGGAGCCUCCGCCGGGAAAGGAGGGGGCAAAGCCUCCGUAACCGGGGGAGGCUGCAGUCGCCUCCGGUUCGACUCGCAUCGGGCUCAGAGAGGCUGCGGCUUCGCGGAAGGGCCUGGCCUAAUGAGAGCUGCGCCAGGCCGGCGGCGCGGAGCUCCCCCCCUGCCCGAGCGACUUGGCGGCGGUGCUGCCCCGCGGGGGGGUCCCCGGCCUCGUCGUUCUGUACCGAAGCCGGCGGCGGCGAGCUCAGGCGGGGGGGGAUCAGCUGGGGCUCGGAGCGGCUUCGCACGGAGCCUGCCAGCGUGGGGGCUGCGCGGCCGCGCGUGGGGCGGCUGGAGGGCGAAGAUUAAAACAAACAAAAAAAAAGCCUGAACGGAGGAACUUGCUGCCGCCCGGCAUCAGCUCAUCCGGCCGUAGAUAACGUGGCGUUCGCCCAGGUCCCUCGGCCACGGCAGUAUCUCACGGACCUGGAGCGUCCGGUACACGGGGGAGCCCCCGCUGCGGGGCCACCCGACCCUCUUGUUCCCGAGCUCCUCCCCGGGAGGGUGGGGGGCGCUCCCCGGCGCCGACCCGCGCCCCGGCGGCCGGGAAGGGCGGCAGCCUGCCCCCGAGGGCUCCCCCCGCGCCCGAGGGAAGCGCAUGACCGGGGCGAACUUUUCACCUGUAUCCGAUGUGAAAAGUAAGGUGGGUAUAGGAGAGAUCCAGCAAGCAGCAGAGCGUGAAAUAGCGUCCGCGCUGCUUCUGCUGUAGCAGCCGUGAGCGCAGCCUUUUCCAGCAGCAGCACCACCUCCCGCAGCUGCUCCAUGCACAGGUAUUUUCAUCGAUGCGCUUUAAGGGGCCGAGUUUUUAAAAGCCGAGUGAGACCAGGCGACGAGGUCGCCGGGCAUGAUUCCACUUGGCACAGGGUGGGCGUGUGCCCCCCCUCGGUCUCGCCGCCCCGCGACGGGCGGUGCACGUCGGUGUCGGCUGCGGGAGAUCCCCGGCCGGGGGCUUCAGCACCGCCUACGUGACUUGGAAGCAUAAAUCCCACUGACUCCGGAGACAAGCCGAGUUUCUCGCUUAGAUGGCUGCUUUGGAAACGCUGCUCUCCUGCGCGGGUCGCUGGGCUGGGAGUCAUCGGCUGGCCGGGGCCGAACAGCUGAAGACGCACCCGAGCGGUUUUACUACGUCGAGUAUUUCCACUGAUGCCGAGCAGAUGUUAGCAGGAUCGGUCCCAGCAGCAAUAAUAAUUGCCGAGGUGGGAGUGAAAGGUGUAGCAUGCAGCUCCAGACACAGGGGGAAAUCUCCCCGUACUUUGCCCGCUGUGACAGUUCAUUAAACCGCUUUAAAAUAUGUUAUCUCUCUUUUUUUUUAAAGUGGAUCUGUGCAGAGGCGAAGAGCGCAGGAGUGUGGCAGCGGCAGGGCUCUUUGCAGGCGGUGGCUUUCAACCAGAAAGGAAAAGAGCUAAUCCUUAAAUCGGUCAGUUGUUUGAGAAGAAAUGACAUACACCUUGGAUACGUAAUUACUGAAAUGUCAAACGCACAAUAUAGCGCACAGGUGGAAGAACUGACUUAUUGUUCAAGAGCUGCCUUUCCUCUCAGCUCAACCCUUGUUUAAAGUUUUCAUUCAAAAUUAAUCGAUUUCUGUGUGAUAGACACAGAAAGAACAAUUCCGAGGCGCCUGGUUUACUAUAGCUUUGUGACUGCACAAUAUUUAGGGUCCGGAUUGAUGUCUUGUGAAAGGUAAGGACGAGGACAUAUCAUCUGUAAUAAUCAAACGUCAACUUGUUCAGCACGUCUAAUUAGGAUUCUUGGCAACCUUAAUACUUCACUCUGUAUGUUUACCAAUGGCAACCUUCCCUCUCCGUCUUUGUGAAGGUGUUAAAUUCAAGUGGGAGGGCUCAUACGAGCAGUGGUCGCGAUCGAAUCUGAUUAUUCCGAGUCACCGUCACUAUUCAGGGUAUAUUUUUCGUGUAAAACAGAAAAGAGCCAGAAAAGGAUAAACGAGCACCAAAACCAAGCCAAAAAUACAGCAGCCGUGCUUGUUUUGAGCUCCCUUCACAAAGGCUUUACUACGCUCUCUUUUGGCUUUCUCACAUCCAAAAUGGUGGGAUAUUUCACGUUCAGUGUAUCUGAUCUCAUUGAGAGAAGCUGCGCUGUCCCUCUGUAACCCCGGUAGUCUAGCAACACGCAACAAGCCUAACGGUGCGUUACUUUAUCAGUUCUGCUUGCCGGGCUAAAUUAAAAUGAUGAUGAGAAAGCCCAUCGCUCCAGCCACUGAAGGGACUGGUAGGGAAACGGUCCAUUAAACCCAGAUCAGGAGCUAUUUAUAGAACUAAGCGACUACUCGUUAAUGUCGCCGGCGCCUACCAAUGAAAUCUCUAACAGACACAGGGCUAAACAUACGCAACCCUGAUUCUUUUCCAGUCCAAACUUCCAGGUAACCAAACGUUUAGCAAAUGAGUUCCGAAACGGGUAAGUAGGGCAAGAGGUUUAGGUAUCUCUUUGCUUUGAAAACAGGCCCGUUUCUCCCAUGAAAUAAUUCCCCAUCCCCCCCCAAAGGAGGUAGCUGGGGAAAAUGGGAACUAAUUUCUAUUCAUAAGAGGCACGGGCUAAGCUGAACGAUUCUCCUCAUCAGAAAAUGAAGAUUUGGCUGUUUGUCUUUGAAAGCGAAGGCGCGACUGAGAAAUCUGGCGAAGGAAGACAGCUUGUUAUCU
RNAcentral lists this long non-coding RNA (3327 nucleotides) under Otus sunia (Oriental scops-owl). RNAcentral describes it as "lncRNA (ENSOSUG00000001322.1)". Lineage: Eukaryota; Metazoa; Chordata; Aves; Strigiformes; Strigidae. The record is from RNAcentral.